Benincasa hispida (wax gourd) is the source of this 1157-nucleotide long non-coding RNA. RefSeq lists it as uncharacterized. The record is from RefSeq and is a predicted model, not a curated record. NCBI's taxonomy places the organism in Eukaryota, Viridiplantae, Streptophyta, Magnoliopsida, Cucurbitales, Cucurbitaceae.
CAUAGUCUCUCUCUCACUUCAACUCACUCUCAAGCAAUGACCCACACAGAUCUCUCUCUCUCGUCAAACCUCCCACUAUCACAUGUAUCAACUCCACGCCGUCCACCAUCAUUGUCAAUCGGUACUGUCCAUCGAUCGCAGUCAUGGUUUAGAUCCGCCAUUCUCCGUGGUCAGAUCUGUGGGUCUUCUUCUCCAUAACCUUCUUCUCCUCUCUCUCUUUCUUUCUCUAACUUCGUUUCGCCAUCUCUCGAAAACCGAUAUGCUACAGGAUAGGUGGAUCUCACUGAAUUUGACUGUAACUUAGCUCGAUAUCGUCGGAUCUACAAUUCAGCUCAUCGGAUCUGACUGAAACAUAUUCCAUCUCGCCGAAUCUGACCACAAUGCACUCAAUCUACCCGAAUCUAACCACAACACACUUGCUCUCGCCUGCUACGCAUAAGCUUCGCGAAUAAUGUUGCUGAGAAUAUGGUUGACAAGAAGGGUCACGCUUGAUUAGAGAGGUGUAACGAAGAAAAUACUGCAAAAUUUAUUAAUAUUUUCUCCAUUGGUUCCAACUUCACACUAUAGUUGACCAGAAAGACAAAGAAAAUAAAAAGGACAGAUUGGUGCUGGUGCCUUCUUUGGCAUUUGGUUGGUUUCUACCAUUGUUGGUACUGUUGAUUCCACCCCAAUGGUACCAAAGUUGUUGGAAGUUAUGAGGCUUCGUUAUAGUGUGUGGUUAACUGCUUGGCUUUUGUUAUUCAAGAAAAAUAGAGAUGAAUUGGUUGCCAAGAUUGAUGGGGUAAAAGAGCAGGUUCUUGGUUCAGAUUGACGACCAAUAUGAAUGAUGUGCCAAUUUGUAGCAAUUGGUAUUGGAUCAUCUUUUCCUUGCAGGGAAAGAAAGAAUGCUUUGCUUCAUGCCUCUUUGUUUGUUAUGACUUAAUUCGGACAGACGUUGCUCUUGAACUUGCCUGGAUCAACAACAUGAUCGACUUUGCUUUCCUAUACCUAUUGCAGAUGCCUUUUCAACAACUUGCAAAUCCUACUUUAGAUUUGGAUCAAAUCUGUGGUGGAUGGUGGAGAGAACAUAACGAAGGAGCAAUUGAAAGUCUAUGUUUGGAAAACACUAUAUAAUGACAGCAAGUAUGUGUGUGCACGUUGUUUUUUGGGGAGGGGAG